AGCCAUUGAAUUAGUUAUAGGAGCAUUGGUUGGGAAGGGAAGGAGAUCUGAACUUCCCAGCCUUCUUGCCAGGAGAUUUAGAGCCCAAGGUUAUGUGACUAAUUCAAUGAUGCUGCAGUUCCCAAAAUAUAAAAUACAGACCGGCAUAACCGUCGGUAAUAUCACGAAGGUGUCGUCGGAAAAAUUACCGAGAGCGUUUUACCGAGGACUUCCUGAUCGUCAAUAAGUCCGGAAUAAUAUACAAUUAUCCACGGUCUUAUGAAGUUAUAGAGGGCUUUUGAUCCUGGAUAAUAACCAACUUUUUUUUUGUAGUGUUAGGUCUAAACUAGAAAUUGUGAGGAAAUAGUCUAUUGUUCACUUAUAUGCUCACGAUGAUUGAUAAUUCUUGUUUUAAUUGGUUGGAUUCA
Long non-coding RNA from Lathyrus oleraceus (garden pea), 407 nucleotides. RefSeq lists it as uncharacterized. The transcript is spliced from 3 exons. Lineage: Eukaryota; Viridiplantae; Streptophyta; Magnoliopsida; Fabales; Fabaceae. The record is from RefSeq and is a predicted model, not a curated record.